Molecule: ribosomal RNA, 267 nt
Filed under: uncultured microorganism
Description: partial 16S ribosomal RNA
Rfam family: Archaeal small subunit ribosomal RNA
Source: RNAcentral
GCGCAGCAGGCGAGAAACCUCCGCAAUACACGAAAGUGUGACGGGGCCAUCCCGAGUGCCGUCCGCUGAGGACGGCUUUUUCCCCAGUGUACAUAGCUGGGGGAAUAAGGAGAGGGCAAGCCUGGUGUCAGCCGCCGCGGUAAUACCAGCUCUCCGAGUGUGGGACGCUUAUUGGCCUAAAGCAUCCGUAGCCGGCUGGGCAAGUCCUCCGUUAAAUCCAACGAUUCAAUCGUUGGGCUGGCGGGGGAUACUGUCCAGCUUGGGGGC